This 252-nucleotide ribosomal RNA is filed under the name uncultured bacterium. Its description in RNAcentral is "partial 16S ribosomal RNA". It matches the Rfam family "Bacterial small subunit ribosomal RNA", at positions 524 to 776 of the family's 1533-position model. The record is from RNAcentral.
UACGUAGGGGGCUAGCGUUGUCCGGAAUUACUGGGCGUAAAGGGUUCGCAGGCGGAAAUAUAAGUCAGGUGUAAAAGGCGGAGGCUCAACCUCCGUAAGCAUUUGAAACUAUAUUUCUUGAGAUAUGGAGAGGCAAGUGGAAUUCCUAGUGUAGCGGUGAAAUGCGUAGAUAUUAGGAGGAAUACCAGUGGCGAAGGCGACUUGCUGGACAUAUACUGACGCUGAGGAACGAAAGCAUGGGUAGCAAACAGG